AUUGAACGCUGGCGGCAUGCCUUACACAUGCAAGUCGAACGGCAGCGGACCUUCGGGUGCCGGCGAGUGGCGAACGGGUGAGUAAUAUAUCGGAACGUACCUUUCAGUGGGGGAUAACGUAGCGAAAGUUACGCUAAUACCGCAUAUUCUGUGAGCAGGAAAGCAGGGGAUCGCAAGACCUUGCGCUGAUUGAGCGGCCGAUAUCAGAUUAGCUAGUUGGUGAGGUAAAGGCUCACCAAGGCGACGAUCUGUAGCGGGUCUGAGAGGAUGAUCCGCCACACUGGAACUGAGACACGGUCCAGACUCCUACGGGAGGCAGCAGUGGGGAAUUUUGGACAAUGGGCGCAAGCCUGAUCCAGCCAUGCCGCGUGAGUGAAGAAGGCCUCGGUUGUAAGACUC
This 399-nucleotide ribosomal RNA is filed under the name uncultured bacterium. RNAcentral's name for it is "bacterial SSU rRNA". It matches the Rfam family "Bacterial small subunit ribosomal RNA", at positions 30 to 433 of the family's 1533-position model. The record is from RNAcentral.